RNAcentral lists this ribosomal RNA (357 nucleotides) under Columbicola sp. n. 9 DLR-2007. RNAcentral describes it as "Columbicola n. sp. 9 DLR-2007 partial 12S ribosomal RNA". The record is from RNAcentral. Lineage: Eukaryota; Metazoa; Arthropoda; Insecta; Psocodea; Philopteridae.
CCCUAUUAUCAAGAGGAAAUAAAAUUAGAGAGUAGGUGACGCCGAAAACAAUUUAGGGUGGCGGUUUUCUUUAUUGUCAGAUAAAUGUGUUUUUUAAAAACGAAAAUGCACGAACAUCUUUCUUACUCUUGAAAAUUCAUCCUGUACACCGCCGUCUGAAGGACCAACUUAAAAAGUUAAUCCUAUUUCUUUCAUGAGAAAUAAGUCAGGUAAGGUGCAGACUAUGGGUAAGAGAAAAUGCAUUUCUCUAAAAAGUUCAAGAAGAGAGUUGAAAAAAAUCUUUUAGAAGAAUUUGGCAGUAAGGUUUUUUAAUCAAAAAAAUCUGAACUAAUAACAAGAAAAUGUACACAUCGCCCG